Molecule: ribosomal RNA, 2352 nt
Filed under: Triticum aestivum (bread wheat)
Lineage: Eukaryota; Viridiplantae; Streptophyta; Magnoliopsida; Poales; Poaceae
Description: partial small subunit ribosomal RNA
Source: RNAcentral
AUGGGAACGAGGCUGGGUGCGCGCGCGGUGUUCGCUCUGGUGCUGUGCGAGCUGCUGCUGCUGUCGCCGUCGGCGGCGGCCGACGGCGGUCUACCGCGGCGGUCGCUGCACCAGCCCUUCUUCCCGAUCGGAUGGUCCCCGCCGCCGCCGGCGUCUGCGGAUGUUGCCGCGCCGCCGCCGCCGGCUGCCGCUGCGGCCGCGACCUCGAGCCCCGCGCGGUCCUCGCCCAGCGUCACCAACAUCGUCGCGAUCGCGCUCACCGCGGGCCUCGUCGCGCUCGCGGUCGUCUCCUACUCCUGCGUCCUCCUGUGGCGCCGCGUCGCGGAAGGCGCGGAGGACGACCGUGCCGCCGCGAAGCCGGCGGGGGCCCUUGCCGCGAGAAUUCCGAGUGAUGCCGGAAGCAGCGCCCGGCACCAGGCGUCGCCGCCGCCCAGCUCCACGGCGUCGGACGCGAUAUACCUGGACCCUCUCACGGCGGUGAUGGAGGUGCGCCACCACCGGUCCAGCCCUGACCUGCGCCCUCUCCAGCUGCAGAAGCAGCCGAGCCCUGACCUCCGCCCGCUGCCGCCGCUGAAACGGAUGGGCGCACAGCCGACGCCGCCGCCCGCGGCCACGCCGCCUAUGACCGGCACGGAGUGCUCCUCCUCCGACGAGGACCAGGCAACGUUUUACACCGCGCGGAAGACCAACAUGUCUUCAUUCAGCCGGAGCACGAGCCAGCGCAGCACCAUUCUGGAGCAUGCAGUGCCGCCGCCCGUGGCGCCUCCACCUGCUCCCGCGCCGGUGCCGGUGCCGCCGCCGCCCGCUCCAGCGCCCGCGGCGCCGCCACCGCAAGCGAAUCGCCUACGGCCUCCUCGUCCGCCGCCGUUGCCGCGGCAGAGACUGCUGCGGCCGAUGCCCGCCGAGUCGCCCCCUCCUGCCGCCCUGGCAAAUUUAGCGCUGACCAGUCCCCCUGAAACCUCUGUCCAAGACAGAGAAGCCGGGAGCUCUGCCGUCCAGCCGGACGGAAGCACCCGGCCGCCCAGCCUGAAACCGCUGCACUGGGACAAGCUCCGGGCCAUCUCCGGCCGCACCACAGUCUGGGACCAGGUCAAGAAUUCCGACUCAUUCCGCGUGGAUGAGGCGGCAAUGGAGAACUUGUUCCCCCAAAACAGCGCCGCCGCCGCGGCGAAUUCCGGUCAGACGGCAGCGAGAGGAGGUCCAGGGAAGCAGCACAGCCGGCUGCUCGACCCAAAGAGGCUGCAGAACGUGGCUAUCAUGCUCAAGGCGCUCAAUGUGACCGCGGACGAGGUGAUCAGAACACUCAUGCACGGAAAUCUGGAAGAUAAGCCUGAGUUGUAUGAAACACUAGCUAAGAUGGCACCAACAAAAGAAGAAGAGUUAAAGCUGAAAGAUUACAGCGGUGACUUAUCAAUAAUUGAUCCAGCAGAGCGCUUUCUAAAAGAUGUCCUUAAUGUUCCUUUUGCCUUCAAGAGAGUGGAUGCAAUGCUUUACAGAGCAAACUUUGAUGCUGAAGUGAAUUAUUUAAGGAAAUCUUUUGGAACUAUGGAGGCAGCUUGUUCAGACCUAAGAAGCAGCAAUCUAUUCUUGAAGUUGCUGGACGCUGUUCUCAAGACUGGGAACCGCAUGAACGACGGUACCAAUCGAGGCGAGGCGAGGGCCUUCAAACUCGACACGCUUCUAAAGCUCGCCGACAUCAAGUCGACCGACGGUAAAACGACACUGCUCCACUUCGUGGUUCAAGAGAUCAUCCGGUCAGAAGGCUUCGACUCCGACCAAGCAGAAAGCAAUCCUGGCACUGGCAGUGCCAGCAAAGAACGGUUCAAGAAGGACGGCCUGAAAGUGCUGGCAGGGCUCAGCAGCGAGCUCUCAAACGUGAGGAAGGCGGCCACGCUGGAGAUGGACACGCUGAGCGGCAACCUGCUGAGGCUCGCGACCGACCUCGAGAAAGUGAGGCUGGUCUUGCAGCUCAGGGAGACGUGUGCCCGUCAGGAAAGCUCCGGCGCGAAGUUCUUCGAGUCGAUGGAUGUUUUCCUCAGAAGGGCGCAGGCGGAGAUCGGGAGCAUGAAGGUGGCGGAGAGGAGCGCAUUGCAGCGCGUGAAGGAGACCACGCAGUACUUCCAUGGCGAUGGCAACAUGGAGGAGCCUUCUCAGCCUCUGAGGGUGUUCAUGGUGGUGACAGAGUUCCUGUUGAUACUGGACCGUGUGUGCCGGGACGUCGGCAGGACGCCGGAGCGGGUGAUGAUGGGGUCCGGUAAGUCGUUCCGCGUCAGCGCCGGCACCUCGUUGCCGCCUCGCCGGUAUGAGACGCGGCCGCUUAGCUCGUCCGACGAGGACAGCUCGUCGUCGUAG